CAUUUCACCUUCUCACAUUCUCCUGGUAUAAUUAUAUCACAAUUUUUGUUUGAAUCAACAUACAGAAUAUACAUUCUUAUUUUACAUAUAUCUUAUCCCUGCUGAGCCUUGGAAAGUGCUGUAUCAAUUUCUCUCUUAUAAAUGCCCAUGCCUAUGUCCUGAAUGGUAUUGCUUAGGUUUUCUUCUAGGGUUUUUAUGGUUUCAGGUCUAACAUUUAAGUCUUUAAUCCAUCUUGAAUUAAUGCUGUCACUCUCCAAAUUCUAUUAUUUCUGAGUGCUAACUAGUUCUGAACCAGGCCACUGUCCUUUGCCAAGCCAAACUACUUAUGUUAAAAUCCUGUGUAAUUAUUGGUAAGAUUUUUACAUUUCCAAGUCUGUUUUCCUAUCUUUUAAGCAAGGAGGCUUAAAGAGACAGUCCAUGGCACAAGACAGGGAUGCCC
Molecule: long non-coding RNA, 439 nt
Filed under: Pan troglodytes (chimpanzee)
Lineage: Eukaryota; Metazoa; Chordata; Mammalia; Primates; Hominidae
Description: long non-coding RNA NONPTRT013058
Source: RNAcentral